RNAcentral lists this long non-coding RNA (414 nucleotides) under Phaseolus vulgaris (common bean). RNAcentral describes it as "long non-coding RNA (PVUL_LNC005359)". The record is from RNAcentral. Lineage: Eukaryota; Viridiplantae; Streptophyta; Magnoliopsida; Fabales; Fabaceae.
GUGAUUUCUCCUUCCCCCACGUGUGAUUGUCCUUGAUAUUCUUCUUCAAAAUGACCAUGGAUAAGAUCAUGCUAAGGUCUGCUUCCAUUGGAGUCUCCCACUCAAAUCGAGCACGCCUCCACUUCAAACUCCACCGCCACUCCGAGUUUAUCCAUUCACCAACCUCACCCACUGCUUGACCCUGAUUUAAGGACAGGGAAUAAAGUCGUGGGAACAUGGAUUUCAAAUCGGCACUUCCAACCCAUACCUCCUCCCAGAAUUUAAUUUUAUGUCCACAUCCUAUUUCCCAUCCUAGCUCUUCUUGAAACCAGCCUUUACCUCCUCCCUCCUUGCAUAUCUUUAACAGGUCUCUCCACCACCAAGACUGAACUUUGGUAGGUGUUUGGUUACCUUCUAGCUCCAAGUUGUACUUUG